This 810-nucleotide long non-coding RNA is filed under the name Citrus x clementina. Its description in RNAcentral is "Citrus clementina (C. clementina) long non-coding RNA (CCLE_LNC006721)". Lineage: Eukaryota; Viridiplantae; Streptophyta; Magnoliopsida; Sapindales; Rutaceae. The record is from RNAcentral.
AUUAAACAGCACUUGUAUAUUAAUUACCUCGUUAUUUAUUAUUUUAGAUUUUUUCCAUUUUAAAGAAUAAUAACAAAAAUAAUAAUAAUAAUAAUAAUAAUAUGGGCACGAGGUUGAACAAAAUAUUCACUUGUAUCCACAGACUGUAGUGUGUGAGAAUGGGCUCAAUUUAUGGAUCUGGGUUAAUUUGACUGGCCCAUCCAUUGAGCAACAAUGCCUGCAGAGGGAGUUUCUAUUGAGCCCCCUAAAUUUGCUACUCCAUACCGUGCACCAAAUAGGGUUUGCUAAGAAAUAUUUGGUAGGCCCAAAUAGUUCUUUCCAGAUGGCGUUAGAGUUCAGCCCAAGAGAGCUCAGCAAACCCAUGAUUUCGAAUUAUUGGACUUACCGAGCACACAACUGCUAAUCUGUAGUCCUUGCUACGAAAGUGUUGGAGUAUCAGCGCCCGCCCCCCCCCCCCCCCCCCCCAAAAUUUCUCUCAAAAUUAGAGGUGGCAAAAAUAUUCGUUCGGUCCGGAUAAAUAAUUUCUCUCAAAAUUAGAGGUGGUAAAAAUAUUCGUUUGGUCCGGACCUGGACCGUACCCGAGUAUUGUAGACUGAGUAUUAUUCGGCUCGGAUAUGAAGUCGGGUCGGUCUUGGGCAUCACUUGAUAAACCUGGAACCUAAAUUUUAUUAAAAAAAUAUUAAAUAUAUAUAUAUUAUUUUAAAUAUUUAUAUUUAUUUGACUCAUUUAUUAUACAUAUAUAAAGUUUUAAACACUUAAAGUUUAUAUUUUCAUGUCAAAUUUUAUUGAAAUAAAUUUAAAACUUAUAAA